GACGAACGCUGGCGGCGUGCUUAACACAUGCAAGUCGAACGGUAAGGUCCUUCGGGGUACACGAGUGGCGAACGGGUGAGUAACACGUGGGUGAUCUGCCCUGCACUUCGGGAUAAGCCUGGGAAACUGGGUCUAAUACCGGAUAGGACCACUGCCUGCAUGGGUGGUGGUGGAAAGCUUUUGCGGUGUGGGAUGGGCCCGCGGCCUAUCAGCUUGUUGGUGGGGUGAUGGCCUACCAAGGCGACGACGGGUAGCCGGUCUGAGAGGGUGACCGGCCACACUGGGACUGAGAUACGGCCCAGACUCCUACGGGAGGCAGCAGUGGGGAAUAUUGCACAAUGGGCGCAAGCCUGAUGCAGCGACGCCGCGUGAGGGAUGACGGCCUUCGGGUUGUAAACCUCUUUCAGCACCGACGAAGCGCAAGUGACGGUAGGUGCAGAAGAAGGACCGGUCAACUACGUGCCAGCCGCCGCGGUAA
Molecule: ribosomal RNA, 478 nt
Filed under: uncultured bacterium
Lineage: Bacteria
Description: partial 16S ribosomal RNA
Rfam family: Bacterial small subunit ribosomal RNA
Source: RNAcentral